UACGUAGGGUGCAAGUGUUAUCCGGAAUCACUGGGCGUAAAGCGUCUGUAGGUGGUUCGAAAAGUCCACUGUUAAAAAUUGAGGCUUAACUUCAAAGAUGCCGUGGAAACUUUCAAGCUAGAGUAUGGUAGGGGUAGAGGGAAUUUCCAGUGGAGCGGUGAAAUGCGUAGAUAUUGGAAAGACCACCGAUGGCGAAGGCACUCUACUGGGCCAUUACUGACACUGAGAGACGAAAGCUAGGGGAGCAAAUGGG
RNAcentral lists this ribosomal RNA (253 nucleotides) under uncultured bacterium. RNAcentral's name for it is "partial 16S ribosomal RNA". It matches the Rfam family "Bacterial small subunit ribosomal RNA", at positions 524 to 776 of the family's 1533-position model. The record is from RNAcentral.